This 384-nucleotide ribosomal RNA is filed under the name uncultured Symbiodinium. RNAcentral describes it as "partial Bacterial small subunit ribosomal RNA". It matches the Rfam family "Bacterial small subunit ribosomal RNA", at positions 14 to 417 of the family's 1533-position model. The record is from RNAcentral. Lineage: Eukaryota; Dinophyceae; Suessiales; Symbiodiniaceae.
UGAUCCUGGCUCAGGAUGAACGCUAGUAGUAUGCUUUACACAUGCAAGUUGAACGGAAUUUUUCGUAGCGAACGGGUGAGGAAUAAACAGAGUUUUACCUUUCAGUUCAGAACAACAAACUAAUUUUAGUUUUAAAUACUGAAUAACUUUAAAAAAAGGUUUGCUUAUAUUUAAGUACUUCCGCUGAAAGAUAGUUCUGUUUAAGAUUAGGUUGUUGGUAAUGUAAAAGAUUACCAAGCCAUCGAUCUUUAGUUGGUCUUAUGAGGAUGAUCAACCACACUGGAACUGAAAUAAGGUCCAGGCUGACACGUCGGCCAGCAGUGAGGAAUAUUGGACAAUGAACGAAAGUUUGAUCCAGCAAUACUAUAUGGAUGAUGACGGCUU